This 484-nucleotide ribosomal RNA is filed under the name uncultured bacterium. RNAcentral's name for it is "partial 16S ribosomal RNA". It matches the Rfam family "Bacterial small subunit ribosomal RNA", at positions 28 to 523 of the family's 1533-position model. The record is from RNAcentral.
GAUGAACGCUGGCGGCGUGCCUAACACAUGCAAGUCGAACGGUGAAGCAGGAGCUUGCUCUUGUGGAUCAGUGGCGAACGGGUGAGUAACACGUGAGCAACCUGCCCCUGACUCUGGGACAAGCGCUGGAAACGGCGUCUAAUACUGGAUAUGUGAUGUGACCGCAUGGUCUGCAUCUGGAAAGAAUUUCGGUUGGGGAUGGGCUCGCGGCCUAUCAGCUUGUUGGUGAGGUAAUGGCUCACCAAGGCGUGGACGGGUAGCCGGCCUGAGAGGGUGACCGGCCACACUGGGACUGAGACACGGCCCAGACUCCUACGGGAGGCAGCAGUGGGGAAUAUUGCACAAUGGGCGGAAGCCUGAUGCAGCAACGCCGCGUGAGGGAUGACGGCCUUCGGGUUGUAAACCUCUUUUAGCAGGGAAGAAGCGAAAGUGACGGUACCUGCAGAAAAAGCACCGGCUAACUACGUGCCAGCCGCCGCCGUAA